RNAcentral lists this ribosomal RNA (389 nucleotides) under uncultured bacterium. RNAcentral's name for it is "bacterial SSU rRNA". It matches the Rfam family "Bacterial small subunit ribosomal RNA", at positions 29 to 417 of the family's 1533-position model. The record is from RNAcentral.
AUUGAACGCUGGCGGCGUGCCUAACACAUGCAAGUCGAGCGGUAACAGGUGUAGCAAUACAUGCUGACGAGCGGCGGACGGGUGAGUAACGCUUGGGAAUCUGCCUAUUAGUGGGGGACAACCCGGGGAAACUCGGGCUAAUACCGCAUACGCUCUACGGAGGAAAGCCGGGGACCGCAAGGCCUGGCGCUAAUAGAUGAGCCCAAGUCGGAUUAGCUAGUUGGUAGGGUAAUGGCCUACCAAGGCGACGAUCGGUAGCUGGUCUGAGAGGACGACCAGCCACACUGGGACUGAGACACGGCCCAGACUCCUACGGGAGGCAGCAGUGGGGAAUAUUGGACAAUGGGCGCAAGCCUGAUCCAGCGAUGCCGCGUGUGUGAAGAAGGCCU